GAUGAACGCUGGCGGCGUGCCUAAUACAUGCAAGUCGAGCGAACAGACGAGGAGCUUGCUCCUCUGACGUUAGCGGCGGACGGGUGAGUAACACGUGGAUAACCUACCUCUAAGACUGGGAUAACUUCGGGAAACCGGAGCUAAUACCGGAUAAUAUAUUGAACCGCAUGGUUCAAUAGUGAAAGACGGUUUUGCUGUCACUUAUAGAUGGAUCCCCGCCGCAUUAGCUAGUUGGUAAGGUAACGGCUUACCAAGGCAACGAUGCGUAGCCGACCUGAGAGGGUGAUCGGCCACGCUGGAACUGAGGCACGGUCCAGACUCCUACGGGAGGCAGAAGUAGGGAAUCUUCCGCAAUGGGCGAAAGCCUGACGGAGCAACGCCGCGUGAGUGAUGAAGGUCUUCGGAUCGUAAAACUCUGUUAUUAGGGAAGAACAAAUGUGUAAGUAACUAUGCACGUCUUGACGGUACCUAAUCAGAAAGCCACGGCUAACUACGUG
This 497-nucleotide ribosomal RNA is filed under the name uncultured bacterium. RNAcentral's name for it is "partial 16S ribosomal RNA". It matches the Rfam family "Bacterial small subunit ribosomal RNA", at positions 28 to 507 of the family's 1533-position model. The record is from RNAcentral.